UGAAUUUAAAUGAGUUGUUGGGUGCUCUUAGAGAAUGAGAUUUUGGCUCUUUAAAAAUAUCUUGAGCUCCACCAUGACAGUGGAAAAAGAGAAGAGAGAAUAAGUUUCGGAGACGAAGAACAAAACAAAAAAGAAUAAAUGCUAAUACGAUCAGAGGACGAAGAUUUUUAUAAGAAGUUAGGCAGUAAGAUGUCCACAAAAAAAUUUAAAUUCAAAAAAAAAA
Molecule: long non-coding RNA, 223 nt
Filed under: Elaeis guineensis (African oil palm)
Lineage: Eukaryota; Viridiplantae; Streptophyta; Magnoliopsida; Arecales; Arecaceae
Description: long non-coding RNA (EGUI_LNC025916)
Source: RNAcentral